Molecule: long non-coding RNA, 2206 nt
Organism: Betta splendens (Siamese fighting fish)
Lineage: Eukaryota; Metazoa; Chordata; Actinopteri; Anabantiformes; Osphronemidae
Exons: 3
Source: RefSeq, a predicted model, not a curated record
UUAAAACACAAAUUCUCUUAUUGCUUAUCGAGGAUAAUUUUCUUAGAUUUGUUCCUCAUUUCAUAAAAGAUAGUUCUCCUGAACCAGAAAGACAAUAUCAAAAAUCCUAAACAUUGUCAUCUACAUUAACCUUUGGUGGUUAAAUUGCUUAUUUUGUCUCAUUCAGUUCACUAUAACAUUAUAACUGCAGGUUCCAAACCAUAUUUUGUAUCAUUACACAUUGUGUGUGCUACUGGUUUCUGAUACAGAGCUGUAGUCGUGUUGCAGGAUCAGUUUCCCAGCAGCUUUAUCCUAAUGAACAGUGCAUACAUUGUUGCAUAAUGUCCACAGCAGGUUUGAUCGCGGUCAUUGUGAAAAAUGUAAAAUCACAAUAAACAGGGUGCAAGUUUCCCAAAAUUGGCAUCAUAGAAAACAAGCAGAUUAUUUUUCUGGCUUGCCGAGUGGCGUAGCAGGGGUCACUCCUGAAAUUCUUAAAUUAACACUUGCUCUGAGUGGGAACAAUGACUCACUGUCCACUGUAACAAAAUAUGUUGGUUGAAUGGUGGGAAAUGUACCACACCUAAAGGAGCUCUAAGUUCAGAGCAUCAUUUAACCGCUGUUAAGUAAACAAACCAAAUGUCUGACCAUGAGGAGACAUGUACAAUGAACGUUUCUUCUUAUGGCUCCUUUUGAAUUUUUUACAUUGCAUAACCUUGUUUUGUCUCCUGAGUCCAGCCAUCGGUGGUGGAAGUUCUCAGAUCAUUUACUUAAAGCCUCCCUCACUGAAUAAUGUGUUUUCACACAUUUCCGCCUGUCGUCCUCCUGCUUCUGGUCAGAACGAUUAUAAAGAAACGUCUGAGAGCGAGCUUCUUUUAAACAUUAAAUAUUUUAGCUAAUAAAUACUGAUCCAAUAAACAUCUUUAUGGAACGUGAAACCUACUGUAGAAUAUGAUGACGUAUACAAUUAUACAAUCAAUAAAUACCUAGAUAAUUUUACUUUUUAAAACCAGGAGCACUCACUGUUUUUUUCUAUUAACCUGCAAUACUUGAAUAAUGUUACAUCUCAUCAGUUGAGCUAUAAAGACAUUACUCAAUAAAUGUUUAGUUCCCUCCUAUUUCUAUAUGAGGUAACGUUUCUUCUGUCUGCCUCCACACAGUGGGUUCUUGUGGUGGUCACUGUGAUCCUCUUUAAGGGCGGUAAGGAAUGGAUGAAUCCAGAAUUAAAGUCAGACUGAGUCGUCUUCCCCUCGCGUUUUCUCUCCUCAUGCAUUAAUCUCCUCCAGUGAAAAGGUCCGCCACUCCUCACGUCUCCCGUCCCACAGCGAUGCCUGUAUAUCUGCCUCUGCCUUUACAAAGGCUGUCUCAGUCUCCAGAGUGCUGUGACUUAAUGUUCGGUACCAGGCUCCAGCGUGGUGCAGGCCCGUGGGACGGAGGACACCGCUGACGUGUCACUCAGUAUUUAGAGGAAGAGUUAAUGUUGUUUCUGUACUAUUGAUACAAGAUGGGAGCAGCCGACAGGGAAGACGGAUUGUAGGAUCUCUUCAUCUUAGAGACACAACGUUCUUCCAAAGCGAGCCUUGAUGCCGCCCCCCCCCCCGCAGUCCCCGUCCUCUGGGAUCACCAUGAAGCUUAGUACAAUGAGGCCAGCUGCCAUCUUUGUUUGACCGUAAGAAGAGACUGUACCUUCACUGUAGCUUCAGAACUAGAUAAAAUACGUAUAAACCUGGCUGAUUAGAAGAAGCACACCAAUGUCUGUUAUUACAGGAGAGGCAUAAACGUAUUGAUGCAACUGCAUUUGAAGAGUCUGGUCCAAACGUCCUUUCUCUGCAUUCAUGUCUUUACUCUGUCAGAUUUACACUUUACUGAUGUUUUUGUGUGGGUCUGUUAAGUCAAACACUUUGUCUCCAGGUUAAAGACAGUUUCGUCAACAACACUGUUGACAGUUAAACAUUGACACAACUCAUUCUUAAAGUGGACUGCAAAUGUUCUGUAUGCGACUCAUAUUUGUCAGCAUCUCGUAUGUCUCAUAAUCCACAAUGUGACAUAGAAAUUUUGCACAUUUCUGCUUUUUCCUCUACAUCACAUCAGAGGUUAAUUUGCCUCCACAGCCGCUCAACAUCCACUUUUCUGCAGAGCGUCGCCUCGUCCGGUUCCCCCUUUAUAGGAGCCCCGCCUCGAAAUCAGUCGAUCAAAUUCAACAUCGUGCACACCAGCGUCAGGCCAAUCA